GACGAACGCUGGCGGCGUGCUUAACACAUGCAAGUCGAACGGUAAGGCCCUUCGGGGUACACGAGUGGCGAACGGGUGAGUAACACGUGGGUGAUCUGCCCUGCACUUCGGGAUAAGCCUGGGAAACUGGGUCUAAUACCGGAUAGGACCACUGCCUGCAUGGGUGGUGGUGGAAAGCUUUUGCGGUGUGGGAUGGGCCCGCGGCCUAUCAGCUUGUUGGUGGGGUGAUGGCCUCCCAAGGCGACGACGGGUAGCCGGCCUGCGAGGGUGACCGGCCACACUGGGACUGAUCCACGGCCCAGACUGCGACGGGAGGCAGCAGUGGGGAAUAUUGCACAGUGGGCGCACGCCUGAUGCGGCGCCGCCGCGCGGGGGAUGACGGCCUGCGGGUUGUAAACCUCUUUCAGCUAUGACGAAGCGCAAGUGACGGUAGUAGCAGAAGAAGGACCGGCCAACUACGUGCCAGCAGCCGCCGCGG
RNAcentral lists this ribosomal RNA (478 nucleotides) under uncultured bacterium. RNAcentral describes it as "partial 16S ribosomal RNA". It matches the Rfam family "Bacterial small subunit ribosomal RNA", at positions 28 to 523 of the family's 1533-position model. The record is from RNAcentral.